CAAUAGCGUAUAUUAAAGUUGUUGCAGUUAAGAAGCUCGUAGUUGGAUUUGUGGUUCGUCCCGCCGGCUGGGUCAUUGACUUUUGCUGUGCUGGUCGUCCAUCCUUGGGUGGAAUCUGUGUGGCAUUAGGUUGUCGCGCAGGGGAUGCCCAUCGUUUACUGUGAAAAAAUUAGAGUGUUCAAAGCAGGCUUAUGCCGUUGAAUAUAUUAGCAUGGAAUAAUGAUAUAGGACCUUGGUACUAUUUUGUUGGUUUGCGCACUGAGGUAAUGAUUAAUAGGGACAGUUGGGGGUAUUCGUAUUCCAUUGUAAGAGGUGAAAUUCUUGGAUUUUUGGAAGACGAACUACUGCGAAAGCAUUUACCAAGGAUGUUUUCAUUAA
Molecule: ribosomal RNA, 378 nt
Filed under: uncultured eukaryote
Lineage: Eukaryota
Description: partial 18S ribosomal RNA
Rfam family: Eukaryotic small subunit ribosomal RNA
Source: RNAcentral